Molecule: ribosomal RNA, 441 nt
Filed under: uncultured bacterium
Lineage: Bacteria
Description: bacterial SSU rRNA
Rfam family: Bacterial small subunit ribosomal RNA
Source: RNAcentral
AACGCGAAGAACCUUACCUACCCUUGACAUGCUCGGAAUCUGGCAGAGAUGUUGGAGUGCCUUCGGGAGCCGAGACACAGGUGCUGCAUGGCUGUCGUCAGCUCGUGUCGUGAGAUGUUGGGUUAAGUCCCGUAACGAGCGCAACCCCUAUUCUUAGUUGCCAACAGGUGAUGCUGGGAACUCUAAGGAGACUGCCGGUGACAAGCCGGAGGAAGGUGGGGAUGACGUCAAGUCCUCAUGGCCCUUACGGGUAGGGCAACACACGUGUUACAAUGGUCAGUACAGAGGGAAGCGAAAUUGUGAGAUGGAGCGAAUCUCUUAAAAGCUGGUCGUAGUCCGGAUUGGAGUCUGCAACUCGACUCCAUGAAGUUGGAAUCGCUAGUAAUCGCGGAUCAGAACGCCGCGGUGAAUACGUUCCCGGGCCUUGUACACACCGCAUAC